CGCUGGCGGCGUGCCUAACACAUGCAAGUCGAACGGGACUAUUCAGAUGAACUUUUCGGAGCGAUUCUUUAUAGUUUAGUGGCGGACGGGUGAGUAACGCGUGGAUAACCUGCCUUUCACAGGGGGAUAGCAGCUGGAAACGGCUGGUAAUACCGCAUACGCUCAAUGCACCGCAUGAUGCAAUGAGGAAAGAUUUAUCGGUGAAAGAUGGAUCCGCGUCUGAUUAGCCAGUUGGCGGGGUAACGGCCCACCAAAGCGACGAUCAGUAGCCGGCCUGAGAGGGCGGACGGCCACAUUGGGACUGAGACACGGCCCAGACUCCUACGGGAGGCAGCAGUGGGGGAUAUUGCACAAUGGGCGCAAGCCUGAUGCAGCGACGCCGCGUGAGUGAAGAAGUAUUUCGGUAUGUAAAGCUCUAUCAGCAGGGAAGAAAGGCCCUUUAGGGGAGAUGACGGUACCUGACUAAGAAGCCCCGGCUAACUACGUGCCAGCAGCCGCGGUAAUACGUAGGGGGCAAGCGUUAUCCGGAUUUACUGGGUGUAAAGGGAGCGCAGACGGAACUGCAAGUCU
This 570-nucleotide ribosomal RNA is filed under the name uncultured rumen bacterium. Its description in RNAcentral is "bacterial SSU rRNA". It matches the Rfam family "Bacterial small subunit ribosomal RNA", at positions 34 to 590 of the family's 1533-position model. The record is from RNAcentral.